Phascolarctos cinereus (koala) is the source of this 2730-nucleotide non-coding RNA. Lineage: Eukaryota; Metazoa; Chordata; Mammalia; Diprotodontia; Phascolarctidae. The record is from RefSeq and is a predicted model, not a curated record.
CCGACUGAGCGUCAGAGUUCUCCCUUUGCCGCAGUGCAUGUUCGUCCGCAGCAGCCGAAGGAUGCAGGCGAAAACAUUGGCGCGCCGAAAAAUGGGCCCGCAGCAGUGGCUCGGGCCUCGGCCUCGGGCAGCCUGUUCCUGCUGUCGCUUUAAAUCUCCCACACGCGCGUCCACACACUCACACACACACACAGGGAGACACACACGGGCAGACACCCGCGCGCGCGCCCCCCUCCCCAUAGCCGCAUGGGCAUUCCACACGUGUGUGCGGGCUCGCCGGGCCGUGGCAUGCAUGCAGCAGUGCUUAUUGUAUAUGGGGGGGGAACAGAGGGCCCUGUUCCCCCGCCUAUCCACACCCUCUCCUCCAGCACCCCGACCCACCGCCCCACCCUCAACCUUUGCUGUGGGACCCGCACCGGCGAUGCAGCCUGAGGAGAAAUAAAGUCUGAACAAAGCUAGACUGAGCGACAGUCACGUCUCAGGGAAACUGACUGGCGUGAGUGCAGCCUCUGGAAGGAAUCCGAUCACUUACAAGCCAAACAAAGCCCUCUUUUCUGUUGUUUAUUUAUUUAUUUAUUUAUUUAUUUAAGACGGGGGAGAAAUGCGCACUUUCGGUUCGGCUAGGCUAACCCUCUGCUUCGCCAAGGCGCACGCUUGUGGAGAGAAGCCUGCGGCGGCUGCGAUUGCUAGGGGAAGGACAUGCGGUGAAGACAUGCCCGGGGAAACGUCUGAAAAGGCACCGUCCCGGACGAGUUUGCGGCUUUUCAGUCUCACGGACGCACGGAUUUCAUGAAAAGGUCCCGCAGCUGCAGAAAUCAGGACAGAAAGUCGGUAGCCCCGGCAGUAGAGAAAAGUUUGCAAUGAGAAGUUUGCAGCGAUCAAGAGAGAAAUCUAUUUACAACUCUCCUUGUACCGACGAUUACUGAGCUAAGAUGUGUCGGCUGCCGCGCUGGGGCUUUUUACAGGCUUUGAGGCUAGUUUAAAAUGUUUGCUCUAGGAAAGCAGGGAGUUAUCACCACAGCCCUCUUUCUCCUCUUUACAUCACCUCUCAAACCCGACGUUCCUGUCCCUUGUGAGGACACCCCACAAACUGUGGCGGUCUGUUAAUAUUCCUCUCCAGAGCUAUUUGCAAGUUUAUUUACAGUUUCUGCUGCGCCCGGUCGCACUUCAGUUUCUAGUUGUUGCAGCUUCUAACCGCUGCGAGGGUUAGUUAUAGGGGAGCCCUGGAGCAAUUGACUGGUUUUCACCCUAAAGAAAUGUGUAAAGGCGUGCAUAGGUCACAUUUUAUUUUCCUGCCGAAUCUCGAAUCUCCCGUCCUCUUUCCCCCGGCACACUCUGAUAAUUUCUUGGCACCGAGCAGCUGCAUGGAUGUAGGAAACACUGAUGUACACGCUCUCGAAAGCAGGUUCUCUGUUCCUUAGUCCGCAGACAUCCAGAGCUUCGGGACACCCCAGCUCAACUAGCGUGACUGUUUGAACCCAGCCGACCCUACUAAGACAGCUGCCGGAGCAAAGAAAGUUCUUGGGAAGGAGGUCACCUCUUGUCCGUCGGGUGCCUACAAAGCGAGUUAGAACUUUUUCGAGGGACUGUGUUUGUGAAUGCGCCUAUUUUAUCCCUACUUUGGGACAGUUUCAAGCAAUAUGAAGAAAUAGGCAGUUGGGGACUUACCCGACUGAUCCUUUUCCAUACAUUAAGGGAUUAUAUUUGGGCCUUGUGGGGGGGAAAAAGGUAACAGUCGGCUAAUUUCUCUCUCCCCUACAGGUCUCUUCUUUUUCUUUUUCUCCCUACUUCAAAAUGGGGGUGAUAGCCUCAUCUUAAUUUGACUAGAAUGUUUCCAAAAGAUGACAGUGGAUGCAGAAAGCUGAGGUUGAAAUAAAUCGAGUUGGGACAUCCCGCUCCCUGCUCUUCCUUCCUCAGCAGCUGUUUGUUCACUGGAAACCUUAAACAGCUUCUUGAAAUGGACUAAAAGCUUUCAUUCCAAUUGUGUUGUUUCUGUUUCUCAAAGAAAACGCACUGAACUUUGCAACAGGCUUUGCCUCUAAACGAUGAACUACGGGACAUCUAAUUGCCUUUGGGGACGAGGGAAAACUUUAACUUGACGAGGUUUUUUUUUUUUUUAAAGUGAGCCGUCGGCUGGAGUUCUCUGUAACCGCUACUAGUCAGUUUCAUGGAUGACAAUUUCGACCUCUCCAAAGAUGCAAAUUAAAAUGUUCUGGACCAGGUUUCCAAACUGGGUAAGGCGCAAUAUGUAAGGGAUUAUUUCUAAAAGAAUUCUGAGAUUAGUUCUUUCCCUAAAGGACUCGCAGCUUUUUUUAUUUCCCCAUUUCUUUUUACCGCGCUACCGGAACGCCAAGAGAUGAUUUUUAUCAACGACAAUAAAAUGAAAACCUCUGGUUAUUGGGGUUCUUCCCACCCCCGAUGAACUGCUCCUUCUACACUGAGAGAAGCAAAACAGUAAUCUUCCUAGAGGUCAUGCGGGCUGCAUUGUUGGAAACUCGUCUCAAAUUUGCCUUAAGUCCCGACACCGACACACACACCUGGAACCACAGGGCGAACAGCGACUGCCGAAAUUCCUGCAGCAGAGCCCACUAUUAAAGGAGCUGCCAUAGGAACUUCAAACUAUCCUUGCUCUGUUACUCCCUCCCCAGCCACCUCCUCACGCAACAAACACACGGCCUCCUUUCUCAUUAGCUUCUCCGAAUCUGGGGCAAUAAAGUGCAAAAUAAACCA